GAAGGUGGCAAGCGUUAUUCGGAUUUACUGGGCGUACAGGGAGCGUAGGCGGUUCGGUAAGCCCUCUGUGAAAUCUUCAGGCUUAACCUGGAAAAGUCGGAGGGGACUGCUGGGCUAGAGGACGGGAGAGGAGCGCGGAAUUCCCGGUGUAGCGGUGAAAUGCGUAGAGAUCGGGAGGAAGGCCGGUGGCGAAGGCGGCGCUCUGGAACGUUUCUGACGCUGAGGCUCGAAAGCGUGGGGAGCAAACAGGAUUAGAUACCCUGGUAGUCCACGCCUUAAACUAUGAAUACUAAGUGUCGGCGGUUUACCGCCGGUGCCGCAGCUAACGCAUUAAGUAUUCCGCCUGGGAAGUAUGGCCGCAAGGUUG
This 367-nucleotide ribosomal RNA is filed under the name uncultured bacterium. RNAcentral describes it as "bacterial SSU rRNA". It matches the Rfam family "Bacterial small subunit ribosomal RNA", at positions 527 to 896 of the family's 1533-position model. The record is from RNAcentral.